AGAGUUUGAUUAUGGCUCGGGGUAAACGCUGGCGGCGUGCGUAACACAUGCAAGUCGAACGGUUAAGCUUAUCUUCGGAUAAGGUUAACAGUGGCGAACGGGUGAGUAAAAGGUAGGGACCAACCCCAUGGACAGAGAUAGCUACUGGAAACGGUAGGUAAACUCUGAUAAGCCCGAGAGGGGAAAGUGGAAAGGCAGCCAAGGGACGGACCUACUAUCCAUCAGGUAGUUGGUGAAGGUAAAGGCUCACCAAGCCGAUGACGGAUAACCGGUGUGAGAGCAUGGACGGUCACAAGGGCACUGAGACACGGGCCCUACUCCUACGGGAGGCAGCAGUGGGGAAUCUUGGACAAUGGGCGAAAGCCUGAUCCAGCGACGCCGCGUGAAGGAAGGAGUCCCUCGGGAUGUAAACUUCUGAACUAGUCGAACAAGGAGGUAGCGGACACGCUACAAGAGAAGGUAGGCUAGGAAAAGUCCCGGCUAACUACGUGCCAGCAGCCGCGGUAAGACGUAGGGGGCGAGCGUUGCCCGGAAUUACUGGGUGUAAAGGGGACGUAGGCGGUAAACCAAGUCAUAUGUGAAAACCAUUUGCUCAACGAAAGGCUUGCGUAUGAAACUGGUGAACUUGAGGGUAGCAGAGGUAGACGGAAUUACCUGAGUAGGGGUGAAAUCCGCAGAUACAGGUAAGAAGGCCGGUGGAGAAGUCGGUCUACUGGGCUACAACUGACGCUGAGGUCCGAAAGCCAGGGGAGCGAACCGGAUUAGAUACCCUGGUAGUC
RNAcentral lists this ribosomal RNA (779 nucleotides) under uncultured Petrotoga sp. Its description in RNAcentral is "bacterial SSU rRNA". It matches the Rfam family "Bacterial small subunit ribosomal RNA", at positions 8 to 795 of the family's 1533-position model. Lineage: Bacteria; Thermotogati; Thermotogota; Thermotogae; Petrotogales; Petrotogaceae. The record is from RNAcentral.